Nematostella vectensis (starlet sea anemone) is the source of this 1186-nucleotide long non-coding RNA. RefSeq lists it as uncharacterized. Lineage: Eukaryota; Metazoa; Cnidaria; Anthozoa; Actiniaria; Edwardsiidae. The transcript has 2 exons. The record is from RefSeq and is a predicted model, not a curated record.
UUUUUUUUUUUUUUGCAUUGUGUUUGAGAAACUUUGGGAUUCCUGUGUGCGCUGCCGGUCACGUGGAAGCACCAUGAAAAACAUUCCGAGAUCGCAAGCCGAAGCGAGUUAAACAGCGUUUUUAUGCGUUUGUAGAGGAACAAGCAUUGAUAAAAAACGAUGCCUUUUAAGAACUUUCCCAAGCUGAGCAUUGUAUCGAGGAGGGAGCUUCUGCAAAAGCCAGAUUUCCCUGCGAAUUCAGCAGUUGGUGUCAUAGUUAGCCCAAGUUAAAAGGUCAAUUACCUGUGAAGUGUUGUAUCUUCUUGGCGCUCUCAGCGCUCCGGAUUUUAUUAUCCCCAAAAUUUUAUUUCAGAUUCUAGGCAAGUAAGUGACUGUCUUUUCAGGAAAAAUGAUCAUUUUUGAUAGAGCAAUGUACCAGAUGCGACUUUUAAGGCCUCAAUUUGUCGGUUUGACGAUCGUGCAAAAUGAUGGAUGCGAGGCUAUAUUUGAGAAAAUCUGUCAAAUAUUCUAUUUUAACUGGAUUAAGCCGAGAUUAAAAUAAUAUUGAGAGAACAUAUCCUGGUUGCCUCCUGUGGUGUUGCUGUGUUUCUGCGCUGUUUUCUUUCGCACUGCAGGUAGCGAUACUUGGUUCAAAUUUUGUAGUGUUUUUCGGGGUCAAGCCGAGAAAAAUAAGGAAAAAUCCAUAAAAUAUUUAAUAUUCGUUAGAUUUUAAAAAGAAACACAUUUUUGUAAUCAGGAGCCAAAUAUAAGUCUAUAGACAAAUUAUUGAAAAAUCAUUUUUUUGAGUAUUGCAUUUCAUCUUGAAUGGAUUAGCGGAGCGCUUCUUAAUACAUGAAUAGUGGAAAAAGAACUAAAUCUUCUCUGAGAACUGGAAAAAUGGAGAUUAGAAAGAUUUUGAAGCAAAAUGUAUUCAGCUCUCGUAAUUUCAAACAAGCGCGCGCGCAUAGGAGCCGUCAUUUCUUGUAUGUUACGGAAGUUGAGCUCCUGAAGUAAUUACAUAGUCACUUACGUAGUUGUAGUUAAUUAUUCAUUGAUUGUAAUUGAUUGUUAUUUGAUACUCAUGGUAUGUAAGAACGGACAUGCGUUAGAUCGGGGGGGUUUUGUGAAAGAGAUUGUUAAGAGAGAUUGCUACGAGAUUGUUACCGAAUAUCGAAGAGAUUGUGAAGAAUAAAGAAGAGAAAACGGA